UACGUAGGGGGCAAGCGUUGUCCGGAUUUAUUGGACGUAAAGAGCGUGUAGGCGGCUUGGUAGGUCCGCUGUGAAAACUCGAGGCUCAACCUCGAGAUGUCGGCGGAAACCACUUGGCUAGAGUCCGGAAGAGGAGAGUGGAAUUCCUGGUGUAGCGGUGAAAUGCGCAGAUAUCAGGAAGAACACCUAUGGCGAAGGCAGCUCUCUGGGACGGUACUGACGCUGAGACGCGAAAGCGUGGGGAGCGAACAGG
Molecule: ribosomal RNA, 253 nt
Filed under: uncultured bacterium
Lineage: Bacteria
Description: partial 16S ribosomal RNA
Rfam family: Bacterial small subunit ribosomal RNA
Source: RNAcentral